This 73-nucleotide transfer RNA is filed under the name Phycisphaerales bacterium. RNAcentral describes it as "tRNA-Arg". It matches the Rfam family "tRNA". From Rfam's summary of the family: Transfer RNA (tRNA) molecules are approximately 80 nucleotides in length. Their secondary structure includes four short double-helical elements and three loops (D, anti-codon, and T loops). Lineage: Bacteria; Pseudomonadati; Planctomycetota; Phycisphaerae; Phycisphaerales. The record is from RNAcentral.
GUCCCCGUAGCUCAAUGGAUAGAGCGCUGGCCUCCGGAGCCAGAGGUUGCGCGUUCGAGUCGCGCCGGGGAUA